AUAUUCCCCAGAAAAGGUAAGUUCAUGAUUAGGAAGGUGAUUUUCUCUGGACAGGGCUUACCAGCAUCAACGAGGAUGUGCUGAGCCCUGAGAUUUCCUCAAGUAUGGGAAAUCCAAGUGUGCAAUUCGUGAAAGUGGAGGACCAUUUUUACCUCAU
Molecule: small nuclear RNA, 157 nt
Organism: Mus spicilegus (steppe mouse)
Lineage: Eukaryota; Metazoa; Chordata; Mammalia; Rodentia; Muridae
Gene: U1
Rfam family: U1 spliceosomal RNA
About the family: U1 is a small nuclear RNA (snRNA) component of the spliceosome (involved in pre-mRNA splicing).
Source: Ensembl